Molecule: ribosomal RNA, 931 nt
Filed under: uncultured bacterium
Lineage: Bacteria
Description: bacterial SSU rRNA
Rfam family: Bacterial small subunit ribosomal RNA
Source: RNAcentral
GCAGUCGANCGGCAGCACGGGGGCAACCCUGGUGGCGAGUGGCGAACGGGUGAGUAACAUAUCGGAACGUGCCCUGGAGUGGGGGAUAACUAGUCGAAAGAUUAGCUAAUACCGCAUACGAUCUAUGGAUGAAAGUGGGGGAUCGCAAGACCUCAUGCUCGUGGAGCGGCCGAUAUCUGAUUAGCUAGUUGGUGGGGUAAAGGCCUACCAAGGCAUCGAUCAGUAGCUGGUCUGAGAGGACGACCAGCCACACUGAGACUGAGACACGGCCCAGACUCCUACGGGAGGCAGCAGUGGGGAAUUUUGGACAAUGGGCGCAAGCCUGAUCCAGCAAUGCCGCGUGAGUGAAGAAGGCCUUCGGGUUGUAAAGCUCUUUUGUCAGGGAAGAAACGGUGGAGGUUAAUACCUUCUGCUAAUGACGGUACCUGAAGAAUAAGCACCGGCUAACUACGUGCCAGCAGCCGCGGUAAUACGUAGGGUGCAAGCGUUAAUCGGAAUUACUGGGCGUAAAGCGUGCGCAGGCGGUUGUGCAAGACAGAUGUGAAAUCCCCGGGCUCAACCUGGGAAUUGCAUUUGUGACUGUACGGCUAGAGUGUGUCAGAGGGGGGUAGAAUUCCACGUGUAGCAGUGAAAUGCGUAGAGAUGUGGAGGAAUACCGAUGGCGAAGGCAGCCCCCUGGGAUAACACUGACGCUCAUGCACGAAAGCGUGGGGAGCAAACAGGAUUAGAUACCCUGGUAGUCCACGCCCUAAACGAUGUCUACUAGUUGUCGGGUCUUUAUUGACUUGGUAACGCAGCUAACGCGUGAAGUAGACCGCCUGGGGAGUACGGUCGCANNAUUAAAACUCAAAGGAAUUGACGGGGACCCGCACAAGCGGUGGNUGAUGUGGNUUAAUUCGAUGCAACGCGAAAAACCUUACCUACCCNUUNA